CAAUAGCGUAUAUUAAAGUUGUUGCAGUUAAAAAGCUCGUAGUUGGAUUUGUGGUUGAUUCUGGUCGCCCGACAUUCGUGUUGGCGUGGACCGGUGUCUCCAUCCUUGGGUGGAAUCUGUGUGGCAUUAGGUUGUCGUGCAGGGGAUGCCCAUCUUUUACUGUGAAAAAAUUAGAGUGUUCAAAGCAGGCUUACGCCGUUGAAUAUGUUAGCAUGGAAUAAUAAGAUAGGACCUCGGUACUAUUUUGUUGGUUUGCGCACUGAGGUAAUGAUUAAUAGGGACAGUUGGGGGUAUUCGUAUUCCAUUGUCAGAGGUGAAAUUCUUGGAUUUUUGGAAGACGAACUACUGCGAAAGCAUUUACCAAGGAUGUUUNCAUUAA
Molecule: ribosomal RNA, 379 nt
Filed under: uncultured eukaryote
Lineage: Eukaryota
Description: partial 18S ribosomal RNA
Rfam family: Eukaryotic small subunit ribosomal RNA
Source: RNAcentral